CUUAGUCCACGGCCACUGUUUACUUUGACCACCUCGGAAACUGAAGAGUGAAGAGGCAUGAAGCCACAGCAACUCCAAAAUACCAAAACGAUGGAUCACUUUUCCACAAGCUAAAGAUUCUAUACUGGGUUCCUAGUAGGUGCAAAGAAAGACUUGUGCCUAUAGCCUGUAAGUGGAUGGAUGUCUGCUGUGCUGUGGGACUGGGAUACCACUCCGAACCAAAACCUAACAGACUCUCAAAGUGCCUUAUCAAGUGGAUGUUGAACGCAACAUUCGUGCUCUAAAUGGGCUCUUGUCGAGUGCGGAGAGCCACUGGCGCGUUGCCCACUGAUUCUGCCUAUUAGACACGCAAACGGUGAUGAGGACCCUG
Molecule: long non-coding RNA, 370 nt
Organism: Populus euphratica (Euphrates poplar)
Lineage: Eukaryota; Viridiplantae; Streptophyta; Magnoliopsida; Malpighiales; Salicaceae
Exons: 3
Source: RefSeq, a predicted model, not a curated record